RNAcentral lists this ribosomal RNA (2894 nucleotides) under human gut metagenome. RNAcentral describes it as "bacterial LSU rRNA". It matches the Rfam family "Bacterial large subunit ribosomal RNA". The record is from RNAcentral.
UUAAGUAAGAAAGGGCGUACGGUGGAUGCCUAGGCACUUGAAACUGAAGAAGGACGCAACAAACGGCGAAACGCGGCGGGGAGCUGUACGUAAGCAAAGAUCCGCCGGUAUCCGAAUGGGGGAACCCGGCAUGCGUAAUAGCAUGUCAUCCGCAGAUGAACAAAUAGUCUGCGAGAGAGGUACCCGGGGAACUGAAACAUCUAAGUACCCGGAGGAAAAGAAAACAACAGUGAUUCCCUGAGUAGCGGCGAGCGAAAGGGGAGGAGCCCAAACCAGACCGAGGUCUGGGGUUGAAGGACCGCGAUACGGCAAGAAUCAUGGUAGGAGAACGGCAUUGAAAGGCCGACCGGAGAGGGUGCAAGUCCCGUAUCCGAAACCGUGAGGAAGCCCAGCGGGAUCCUGAGUACGGCGAGACACGAGAAAUCUUGUCGGAAGCAGGCGGGACCAUCCGUCAAGGCUAAAUAUAAGCAAGUGACCGAUAGUGAACCAGUACCGUGAGGGAAAGGUGAAAAGAACCGCGGGAGCGGAGUGAAAUAGAACCUGAAACCGUAUGCUUACAAGAAGUCAGAGCACGUUAAGGUGUGAUGGCGUGCCUUUUGUAGAAUGAACCGGCGAGUUAUGUUAUCGUGCGAGGUUAAGCAGGAGAUGCGGAGCCGAAGCGAAAGCGAGUCUUAAUAGGGCGGCAGUACGAUGACAUAGACCCGAAACCGUGUGAUCUAGCCAUGACCAGGUUGAAGUUCAGGUGAAACUGAAUGGAGGACCGAACCGACCCCCGUUGAAAAGUUGGCGGAUGAGUUGUGGCUAGGGGAGAAAUUCCAAUCGAACACGGAUAUAGCUGGUUCUCCCCGAAAUAGCUUUAGGGCUAGCGUCGAGGAUGAGUCUUGUGGAGGUAGAGCACUGAAUGUACGAUGGCCCCAUCCCGGGGUACUGAGUAUAAUCAAACUCCGAAUGCCAUGAGAUAUUCCCGGCAGUCAGACCGUGGGUGAUAAGGUCCAUGGUCAAAAGGGAAACAGCCCAGACCGCCAGUUAAGGUCCCAAAAUGUAUGCUAAGUGGAAAAGGAUGUGGGGAUGCACAGACAACUAGGAGGUUGGCUCAGAAGCAGCCAUCCUUCAAAGAGUGCGUAACAGCUCACUAGUCGAGUGACCCUGCGCCGAAAAUGUACCGGGGCUAAGCAUACUACCGAAGCUGCGGAUUUGUAGUAAUACAAGUGGUAGGGGAGCGUUCCAUGCACGUGGAAGCCAUACCGAAAGGAGUGGUGGAGAGCAUGGAAGUGAGAAUGCCGGUGUGAGUAGCGAGAUGCAGGUGAGAAUCCUGCACACCGAUAGCCCAAGGAUUCCAGGGGAAGGUUCGUCCGCCCUGGGUAAGUCGGGACCUAAGGCGAGGCCGAAAGGCGUAGUCGAUGGAAAACAGGCAGAUAUUCCUGUACCCGCGAUGGAAAUGAAGGAAUGACGGAGAAGGCUAGCAUGAGCCACUUAUUGGAUUGUGGUCGAAGCGAAUAGCAGGUGCAUAGUCAAAUGCGUGCACGGGAUGUAAAACGUGACAGGUAAGCGAAACCCUUGGGGAGUAGCGAAGCAUGCGAGGCCAGCUUCCAGGAAAAGUUUCUAGUGCUGAUUCCAUAGCGGCCCGUACCAAAACCGACACAGGUGGGCAAGGAGAGUAUCCUGAGGUGAGCGAGAGAACUGUUGCCAAGGAACUCGGCAAAAUGACUCCGUAAGUUAGCGAGAAGGAGUGCUUAUGAAAGUAAGCCGCAGUGAAGAGGCCCAAGCGACUGUUUAACUAAAACACAGCUCUCUGCGAAGUCGCAAGACGAAGUAUAGGGGGUGACGCCUGCCCGGUGCUGGAAGGUUAAGAGGAUUUGUCAGUUUCGACGAAGCAAUGAAUUGAAGCCCCAGUGAACGGCGGCCGUAACUAUAACGGUCCUAAGGUAGCGAAAUUCCUUGUCAGGUAAGUUCUGACCCGCACGAAAGGCGUAACGAUUUGGGCGCUGUCUCGGCAGCAGACUCGGUGAAAUCUUAGUACCUGUGAAAAUGCAGGUUACCCGCAACUAGACGGAAAGACCCCAUGGAGCUUUACUGCAGCCUGAUAUUGGAUUUUGAUCAGAGAUGUACAGGAUAGGUGGGAGACGAAGAAGGAUGCACGCCAGUGUAUCUGGAGUCGACGUUGGGAUACCACUCUUGUCUGAUUGGAGUUCUAACCUGCGUCCAUGAAGCUGGACGGGGGACCGUGUCAGGCAGGCAGUUUGACUGGGGCGGUCGCCUCCCAAAGAGUAACGGAGGCGCCCAAAGGUACGCUCAGAUUGGACGGAAAUCAAUCGGCGAGUGCAAAUGCAGAAGCGUGCUUGACUGUGAGACAAACAGGUCGAACAGGGACGAAAGUCGGGAUUAGUGAUCCGGCGGUGCCGAAUGGAAGGGCCGUCGCUCAACGGAUAAAAGCUACCCUGGGGAUAACAGGCUGAUCUCGCCCAAGAGUUCACAUCGACGGCGAGGUUUGGCACCUCGAUGUCGGCUCAUCGCAUCCUGGAGCUGAAUUCGGUUCCAAGGGUUGGGCUGUCCGCCCAUUAAAGCGGUACGCGAGCUGGGUUCAGAACGUCGUGAGACAGUUCGGUCCCUAUCUGUUGUGGGCGUAGGAGAUUUGAGGAGAGCUGUCCUUAGUACGAGAGGACCGGGAUGGACCUACCGCUGGUGCACCGGUUGUUGUGCCAACAGCAUAGCCGGGUAGCUAAGUAGGGAAGGGAUAAGCGCUGAAAGCAUCUAAGCGCGAAGCCUACUCCAAGAUGAGAUCUCCCAUACGCAAGUAGUAAGACCCCUUGAAGACGACGAGGUAGAUAGGUCAGGGAUGGAAGCGCAGCGAUGCGUGGAGUUGACUGAUACUAAUAGGUCGAGGACUUAAUCAA